RNAcentral lists this long non-coding RNA (1601 nucleotides) under Salmo salar (Atlantic salmon). RNAcentral's name for it is "lncRNA (ENSSSAG00000091388.1)". Lineage: Eukaryota; Metazoa; Chordata; Actinopteri; Salmoniformes; Salmonidae. The record is from RNAcentral.
CAGGGAAGUUGACAUGUCAUCACUUCAUUUUUUUGCGCCUGCGCAUAAAUCUGAGAAACGUGAGUUUGUCAUCAUUGUUUAUCUAGACAUAGGAUAGGUUGUGUGAAAAUAUUACUGAUGUUUAACGUUAAAAAUGGACCAAAAGAUUAAUGCUAAACAACAUUUGACAUGUUUGAACUAACGUAAAUAGAUUAUUUACUAGGUUUUUUUAGCUUUUCGGCGUGAUUUUACACCCCCCCACCACGUUUUGUGGGAGCAUAAUGAACGCUAAGUACUUGGUGUUAUUUGGACAUAAAUUAUGAACUUUGUCAAAAGAAACCACAUUUGUUCCGGACCUGGGAAAUCCUGGCAGUGCCUUCUGAUGGAGAUAAUCAAAGGAGUAUCAUCUGAUGGAGAUUGACAAAGGUUAGUGCAUAAUUCUAGCUGGUUUCUGCUUUUGGUGACGCCUGACCUUGAAUUGAAAAUGGAUGUUUGUACUUUUGUGGCUAUGUACUGUCCUAACAUAAUCUAACUUUAUGCUUUUGCCGUAAAGCCUCUUUGAAAAUCGAACAAUGUGGUUAGAUUAAGGAGAUGUUUAUCUUUUAAAUUGUGUAAAAUAAUUGAUUGUUUGAGAAAUUGAAAUUAUUAGAUUUUUGAUGUUUUGAAUUUCCAGCCUUGUUAGCAAUCCCGACUCGGGGUUCAUUGCUAACCUGUAGCCCCAACGAAACCUGUUUUCGCUUUGUCGUCAUGGGGUAUUGUGUGUAAAUUGCUGAGGAUUAUUUGUUAUUUAAUCAAUUUUAGAAUAAGUCUGUAACGUAACAAAAUGUGGAAAAAGUCAAUGGGUCUGAAUACUAUCCGAAGGCACUGUAUAUACAGUACCAGCCAAAGGUUUGGACAGACCUACUCAUUUAAGGGUUUUUGUUUAUUUUUACUAUUUUCUACAUUGUAGAAUAAUAGUUAAGAUAUCGAAACUAUGAAAUAACACAUAUGGAAUCAUGUAGUAACCAAAAAAGUGUUAAACAAAUCAAAAUAUAUUUUAUAGUUUAGAUUCUUCAAAGUAAACACCUUUUGCCUUGAUGACAGCUUUGCACACUCUUGGUAUUCUCUCAACCAGCUUCAUCUGGAAUGCUUUUCCAAUGUUCUUGAAGGAGUUCCCACAUAUGCUGAGCACAUGUUGGCUGCUUUUCCUUCACUCUGCGGUCCAACUCAUCCCAAACCAUCACAAUUCGGUUGAGGUCGGGUGAUUGUGGAGGCCACGUCAUCUGAUGCAGCAUUCCAUCACUCUCCUCCUUGGUCAGAUAGCCCUUACACAGCCUGGAGGUGUGUUCGGUCAUUGUCCUGUUGAAAAACAAAUCAUAGUCCCACUAAGCACAAACCAGUUGGAAUGGCCUAUUGCUGCAGAAUGCUGUGAUAGACAUUUUGGUGAAGUGUGCCUUGAAUACUAAAUAAAUCACAGUGUCACCAGCAAAGCAAUUGUGUAUCUUGUGAGGGUUUUAGGGGCCAAGCCGAAUUUCUUCAGCCUCCUGAGGUUGAAGAGGUGCUGUUGCGCCUUCGUCACCACACUGUCUGUGUGGGUGGACCAUUUCAGAUUGUCAGUGAUGUGUACGCCGAGGAAGUUGAAG